RNAcentral lists this ribosomal RNA (732 nucleotides) under uncultured fungus. RNAcentral's name for it is "SSU rRNA". It matches the Rfam family "Eukaryotic small subunit ribosomal RNA", at positions 282 to 1022 of the family's 1831-position model. The record is from RNAcentral. Lineage: Eukaryota; Fungi.
UGCCGGCGAUGGUUCAUUCAAAUUUCUGCCCUAUCAACUUUCGAUGGUAGAGUAGUGGUCUACCAUGGUUUCAACGGGUAACGGGGAAUUAGGGUUCUAUUCCGGAGAGGGAGCCUGAGAAACGGCUACCACAUCCAAGGAAGGCAGCAGGCGCGCAAAUUACCCAAUCCCGACACGGGGAGGUAGUGACAAUAAAUACUGAUACAGGGCUCUUUUGGGUCUUGUAAUUGGAAUGAGUACAAUUUAAAUCCCUUAACGAGGAACAAUUGGAGGGCAAGUCUGGUGCCAGCAGCCGCGGUAAUUCCAGCUCCAAUAGCGUAUAUUAAAGUUGUUGCAGUUAAAAAGCUCGUAGUUGAACCUUGGGCCUGGCUGGCCGGUCCGCCUCACCGCGUGCACUGGUCCGGCCGGGCCUUUCCUUCUGGGGAGCCGCAUGCCCUUCACUGGGUGUGUCGGGGAACCAGGACUUUUACUUUGAAAAAAUUAGAGUGUUCAAAGCAGGCCUAUGCUCGAAUACAUUAGCAUGGAAUAAUAGAAUAGGACGUGUGGUUCUAUUUUGUUGGUUUCUAGGACCGCCGUAAUGAUUAAUAGGGAUAGUCGGGGGCAUCAGUAUUCAAUUGUCAGAGGUGAAAUUCUUGGAUUAUUGAAGACUAACUACUGGAAAGCAUUUGCCAGGAUGUUUUCAUUAAUCAGUGACGAAAGUUAGGGGAUCGAAGACGAUCAGAUACCGUCGUA